GAUGAAGAACGCAGCGAAAUGCGAUAAGUAAUGUGAAUUGCAGAAUUCAGUGAAUCAUCGAAUCUUUGAACGCACAUUGCGCCCCCUGGUAUUCCGGGGGGCAUGCCUGUCUGAGCGUCAUUUCAACCCUCAUGCCCCUAGGGCGUGGUGUUGGGGAUCGGCCAAAGCCCGCGAGGGACGGCCGGCCCCUAAAUCUAGUGGCGGACCCGUCGUGGCCUCCUCUGCGAAGUAGUGAUAUUCCGCAUCGGAGAGCGAUGAGCCCCUGCCGUUAAACCCCCAACUUUCCAAGGUUGACCUCAGAUCAGGUAGGAAUACCCGCUGAACUUAAGCAUAUCAAUAAGCGGAGGA
This 348-nucleotide unclassified non-coding RNA is filed under the name soil metagenome. RNAcentral's name for it is "partial contains 5.8S ribosomal RNA, internal transcribed spacer 2, and large subunit ribosomal RNA". The stretch from base 1 to 120 matches the Rfam family "5.8S ribosomal RNA", at positions 35 to 154 of the family's 154-position model. The record is from RNAcentral.